This 419-nucleotide ribosomal RNA is filed under the name bacterium. RNAcentral's name for it is "partial 16S ribosomal RNA". It matches the Rfam family "Bacterial small subunit ribosomal RNA", at positions 355 to 776 of the family's 1533-position model. The record is from RNAcentral.
UGGGGGAUAUUGCACAAUGGGCGAAAGCCUGAUGCAGCGACGCCGCGUGGGGGAUGAAGGCCUUCGGGUUGUAAACUUCUUUUGCUCUGAACAAGGCGCACCAUGGGGUGUGUUGAGUGUAGGGGUUGAUUAGCGCCGGCUAACUACGUGCCAGCAGCCGCGGUAAUACGUAGGGCGCGAGCGUUGUCCGGAAUUAUUGGGCGUAAAGGGCUUGUAGGUGGCUGGUUGCGUCUGUCGUGAAAGCUCAUGGCUUAACUGUGGGUUUGCGGUGGGUACGGGCUGGCUUGAGUUCAGUAGGGGAGGCUGGGAUUCCUGGUGUAGCGGUGGAAUGCGCAUAUAUCAGGAGGAAUACCGGUGGCGAAGGCGGGUCUCUGGGCUGUUACUGACACUGAGGAGCGAAAGCAUGGGGAGCGAACAGG